CAAAGAUCUUGCUAAAUUGCAACAUAAGAAAAUUUAUUUUUGAAAAAGUAAAGUAAUUAGAUAAAAUAAAAGACUAUAAUUUACAAGAUAAAUAAGAUAUUAUCAGCACAUGUUCAGCCCUACGAAGGCAAGGUGGCAAAGUGAACCGCGGAACAGAUGAAUGGAAUUCUUCUCGACUUGUGAGAGUCGGAUCCUUAUUCGAAAAUUGGGAAAAUAAAAUAAGAGACUAAAUAAUAUUAUAUUAAAAUUAAAUAAUAUUUAAACCUAAAAUAUAAAUACCACGGCGAACCCAUCAAACUUCAUCUCCUUCCGUUUUCUUUUCGUGUUCUACUUUUUUCCCGCCAAAGUUCAUGACCUCGAUCGGGGAUUCCUAAUCUCAAGAGAUUCAGUAUGCAAUUUGAAUUCCACAGUUUUCUUGCGAUCUUCCUCUUCGUUGCAUUUCAUUUCCAAUGUUUAUCUUGCUGCGAUCGAAAUUGCUCGAGAAAGUCCAUCGUCGCGUCGCGGCCAAUCGCGCCAAAUAACAUUUAUCGGAAACCCUAGCUCCUAGAGAUUUUGCAUGCAUUUUUUCUCUAAUGCCUCGCUUUUGCUGCAUGGAGCUUGGAGUUCUAGUCUUUCUUCUUACCAUGGAGGCCUCUGCAGCAGAGGAUCUCGAAGGUCCUGAGUCAUGGGAGGUCGCUGACAUGGUUGAGGCCAUGAGACGAAUGGCGUUGCGCUCCCUGCUUAUUCUUCAUCUUCAUUUUCUCUUGACAAUGAAUCCGAGGAUUCUACCAGGCUUUUCAGAGUCAUCGCGAGCGAUUCUCGAAUAUUCCUGUAAGUUUAUCAUCAGAACAAAACAGAAUCACAAAGGUUGCUAUCAAACAGAGAUCACAGAGAGUAUCAGAACUCAGAAGUAACUGGCGAUGCAAGUGCACACUCAACAAAAAUCAAAUAGUUUCAAGAGAGUGGAAGAUAGGAAAGAAGAAUUCAAUAAGGUCCAUGAUCGGAUAUUUAAAUUGGCCAGUAACUCGGAUACUAAUGCUAGUGGGAAAAUAGAUGCUGGUUAAAGGCCAUGGGAUAAUGAUUGUAGUGCUUUAGGCAUUUCAAAGGGUUGAAGAGAAGAUGAUUUCUGGAGUUUCUGAUAUAAAUUCUAGCAGGGGUUUGAUUGAAUAUUCAACUAGUAGUAGAGCGGGAAUGAAAAGGAACUGCUUGGUAGACACAAACCAAAUAGUAGGGUAGCUAUUCUUACGGAUCGUGAGGUUGAUUGCAAAGAUCUUGAUUAUGGCAUGAGCUGUGUAAGGAAUUACCACAACUUGGAUCUGUCCCGUCUUCUGGAUCUCAUCCUCCGGAGACAGGUUAAAGUACAAGUCUACAGUCGCUCAAUGGAUGGCGAAGCAUGUAAGGCCGUGCUACGGAUCUUUUUCAGCAUUGGCAUGGUAAGAUGCGCAGUUCUUCCCUAUCCUAUUUUGUUAAAAAAAAAAAAAAUACCUUUACAUAUUUUCCUUUCCUUUACGGAUCUUAACAAAUAUUUAAUGAGAUUGCAAAGUUCCCGAGUCAAUACGUUUAUUUUCUAAAAAUACAAGUUAGAAUGCCAAGAAGUGUGAAGUUUUGAAAAACUUAAACACGUGUUGAAGCCUAUUUUUAAAAAUCUUACCUACAAUUUGAAAAAUAUA
This is a long non-coding RNA of Momordica charantia (bitter melon), 1649 nucleotides long. RefSeq lists it as uncharacterized. The record is from RefSeq and is a predicted model, not a curated record. NCBI's taxonomy places the organism in Eukaryota, Viridiplantae, Streptophyta, Magnoliopsida, Cucurbitales, Cucurbitaceae.